GUGCCUAACACAUGCAAGUCGAGCGAGAAAAGGGUAGCAAUAUCCUGAGUACAGCGGCGCACGGGUGAGUAACACGUGGGUAAUCUGCCCUGGAGUGGGGAAUAACACCGGGAAACCGGUGCUAAUACCGCAUACGAUCACGAUGUCUGCGGAUGUUGUGAUGAAAGGAGCAAUUCGCUCCAGGAGGAGCCCGCGGCUGAUUAGCUAGUUGGUGAGGUAAUGGCUCACCAAGGCUACGAUCAGUAUCCGGUCUGAGAGGACGGUCGGACACACUGGAACUGAGACACGGUCCAG
Molecule: ribosomal RNA, 294 nt
Filed under: uncultured bacterium
Lineage: Bacteria
Description: partial 16S ribosomal RNA
Rfam family: Bacterial small subunit ribosomal RNA
Source: RNAcentral